This 755-nucleotide ribosomal RNA is filed under the name uncultured bacterium. Its description in RNAcentral is "bacterial SSU rRNA". It matches the Rfam family "Bacterial small subunit ribosomal RNA", at positions 146 to 876 of the family's 1533-position model. The record is from RNAcentral.
ACAGACGGAAACGACUGCUAAUACCGAAUAAGUUCCAAGAGCCGCAUGGCCCAUGGAAGAAAAGGUGGCCUCUACCUGUAAGCUAUCGCCUGAAGAGGGGUUUGCGUCUGAUUAGCUGGUUGGAGGGGUAACGGCCCACCAAGGCGACGAUCAGUAGCCGGUCUGAGAGGAUGAACGGCCACACUGGAACUGAGACACGGUCCAGACUCCUACGGGAGGCAGCAGUGGGGAAUCUUCCGCAAUGGGCGAAAGCCUGACGGAGCAACGCCGCGUGAGUGAUGACGGCCUUCGGGUUGUAAAACUCUGUGAUCCGGGACGAAAAGGCAGAGUGCGAAGAACAAACUGCAUUGACGGUACCGGAAAAGCAAGCCACGGCUAACUACGUGCCAGCAGCCGCGGUAAUACGUAGGUGGCAAGCGUUGUCCGGAAUUAUUGGGCGUAAAGCGCGCGCAGGCGGCUUCCCAAGUCCCUCUUAAAAGUGCGGGGCUUAACCCCGUGAUGGGAAGGAAACUGGGAAGCUGGAGUAUCGGAGAGGAAAGUGGAAUUCCUAGUGUAGCGGUGAAAUGCGUAGAGAUUAGGAAGAACACCGGUGGCGAAGGCGACUUUCUGGACGAAAACUGACGCUGAGGCGCGAAAGCGUGGGGAGCAAACAGGAUUAGAUACCCUGGUAGUCCACGCCGUAAACGAUGGAUACUAGGUGUAGGAGGUAUCGACCCCUCCUGUGCCGGAGUUAACGCAAUAAGUAUCCCGCCUGG